UACGUAGGGGGCAAGCGUUGUCCGGAUUUAUUGGGCGUAAAGAGCGUGUAGGCGGUCAGGUAGGUCCGUUGUGAAAACUCGAGGCUCAACCUCGAGACGCCGAUGGAAACCAUCUGACUAGAGUCCGGAAGAGGAGAGUGGAAUUCCUGGUGUAGCGGUGAAAUGCGCAGAUAUUGGGAAGAACACCAGUGGCGAAGGCGGCUAACUGGUCCAGAUCUGACGCUGAGGUGCGAAAGCGUGGGGAGCAAACAGG
Molecule: ribosomal RNA, 253 nt
Filed under: uncultured bacterium
Lineage: Bacteria
Description: partial 16S ribosomal RNA
Rfam family: Bacterial small subunit ribosomal RNA
Source: RNAcentral